CCGGGUUCUUCCCCCUUUUCUUUUUUUUUCUUUUCUGUUUUCAUUUUCCAAGACAUUUUCCAAAAGAGUUUUUGAAGCAAAAAUAAAAAUAGAAUCAGAGCAAACAGUACAUUAAUAACUAUGCCUCAGCAUGAAUGCAAAAUCACGUUUCUAAACUUAUGAUGAAUUUUAAUUUUCACAAAAUUAUUUAUUUGCUAGAUUGAAAUGCUCACAAAAAUACUUAA
This 224-nucleotide long non-coding RNA is filed under the name Sorghum bicolor (sorghum). Its description in RNAcentral is "long non-coding RNA (SBIC_LNC014906)". The record is from RNAcentral. Lineage: Eukaryota; Viridiplantae; Streptophyta; Magnoliopsida; Poales; Poaceae.